UACGAAGGGGGCUAGCGUUGCUCGGAUUGACUGGGCGUAAAGGGCGCGUAGGCGGUUCGUACAGUCAGACGUGAAAUUCCUGGGCUCAACCUGGGGGCUGCGUUUGAUACGUGCGGACUUGAGUGCGGAAGAGGGUCGUGGAAUUCCCAGUGUAGAGGUGAAAUUCGUAGAUAUUGGGAAGAACACCGGUGGCGAAGGCGGCGACCUGGACGAUUACUGACGCUGAGACGCGAAAGCGUGGGGAGCAAACAGG
Molecule: ribosomal RNA, 253 nt
Filed under: uncultured bacterium
Lineage: Bacteria
Description: partial 16S ribosomal RNA
Rfam family: Bacterial small subunit ribosomal RNA
Source: RNAcentral